Gossypium raimondii (Peruvian cotton) is the source of this 87-nucleotide non-coding RNA. The record is from Rfam. NCBI's taxonomy places the organism in Eukaryota, Viridiplantae, Streptophyta, Magnoliopsida, Malvales, Malvaceae.
CACGUCAGCGCGACCUGCUGACGUGGAAGGAAAUCGCUCCCUCAAGGAUGCGAUUUUCUUCCACCUUAGUAGGUCCCGCUAACGUGG